GAUUCCCCGCUCGCCGCUCCCCACCCCCCAGGGCUCCCUAAAGAGGGCCACGAGCUGCGAAAGGGCGGGAAAGGCGGUUGGAGAAGGAGAGGUAAGCGGUUACUCACUCCAUGGCUGCAGCAAGGAGAGGCGGCGGCGGCCUCGGCUGAAGAAAGACGGUGGGAGCGGAGAGCGCAGGCGUGCCGAGGUGGAUGUCGGUCUUUUCUCUAUUGCAGAAACCCACCUUGUCCCAUCCACAUCAGGACAUCCCAGCUGGAGUUCAACUUUCAUCCCUUCUGUGGCAGUUAGGAGACUGAAUCAAGGUCCAGAGAAGGUGGAGGGAUCCUGGUAUUGAGCGUCGGUCAAAUCCGUCUUCUAAGGAUACUGCUGAUCAUCUUUAGGGCUCACGCCUGUAGUCCUGGCACUUUGGGAGGACAAAGAGGGAGGAUUGCUUGAGCUCAGGAGUUGAAGACCAGGGCAACAGAGGAAUUCAGCCCAGCCCACAGCACCUGCCGCGUUGCCCUUCACUCCGGCCGUGCCAGCAGCCACCACAGCAGGUGCCACACAGCCAGCUGCUCCCACACCCA
Molecule: small RNA, 566 nt
Filed under: Pongo abelii (Sumatran orangutan)
Lineage: Eukaryota; Metazoa; Chordata; Mammalia; Primates; Hominidae
Description: processed transcript
Source: RNAcentral